This 429-nucleotide ribosomal RNA is filed under the name Chloroflexota bacterium. RNAcentral's name for it is "Chloroflexi bacterium partial 16S ribosomal RNA". It matches the Rfam family "Bacterial small subunit ribosomal RNA", at positions 355 to 776 of the family's 1533-position model. The record is from RNAcentral. Lineage: Bacteria; Bacillati; Chloroflexota.
UGGGGAAUAUUGCACAAUGGGCGCAAGCCUGAUGCAGCCAUGCCGCGUGUGUGAAGAAGGCCUUCGGGUUGUAAAGCACUUUCAGCGGGGAGGAAGGCGGUGAGGUUAAUAACCUCACCGAUUGACGUUACCCGCAGAAGAAGCACCGGCUAACUCCGUGCCAGCAGCCGCGGUAAUACGGAGGGUGCAAGCGUUAAUCGGAAUUACUGGGCGUAAAGCGCACGCAGGCGGUUGAUUGAGUCAGAUGUGAAAUCCCCGGGCUUAACACGGGAAUUGGAUCUGAUACUGGUCAGCUAGAGUCUUGUAGAGGGGGGUAGAAUUCCAUGUGUAGCGGUGAAAUGCGUAGAGAUGUGGAGGAAUACCGGUGGCGAAGGCGGCCCCCUGGACAAAGACUGACGCUCAGGUGCGAAAGCGUGGGGAGCAAACAGG